CCUACGGGAGGCAGCAGUGGGGAAUAUUGCGCAAUGGGCGAAAUCCUGACGCAGCGACGCCGCGUGAGGGAUGAAGGUCUGCGGAACGUAAACCUCUGUCAGCAGGGAAGAACGGUCACUUGGCUAAUCAGCAGUGAAUUGACGGUACCUGCAAAGGAAGCACCGGCUAACUCCUGGCCAGCAGCCGCGGUAAUACGGCGGGUGCGAGCGUUAAUCGGAAUGACUGGGCGUAAAGCGCUCGUAGGCGGUAUGUCAAGUCAAGGGUGAAAUCCCCGCGCUCAACGUGGGAACUGCCUUUGAAACUGGCAAACUGGAGUGUGUGAGAGGUUAGUGGAAUUCCAGGUGUAGGCGUGAAAUCCGUAGAUAUCUGGUGGAACAUCAGUGGCGAAGGCGACUCUCUGGCACAUAACUGACGCUGAGGAGCGAAAGCGUGGGUAGCAAACAGGAUUAGAUACCCGGGUAGUC
Molecule: ribosomal RNA, 465 nt
Filed under: uncultured bacterium
Lineage: Bacteria
Description: partial 16S ribosomal RNA
Rfam family: Bacterial small subunit ribosomal RNA
Source: RNAcentral